Molecule: ribosomal RNA, 710 nt
Filed under: uncultured bacterium
Lineage: Bacteria
Description: bacterial SSU rRNA
Rfam family: Bacterial small subunit ribosomal RNA
Source: RNAcentral
AGCGGCGGACGGGUGAGUAACGCGUGGGUAACCUGCCCUAUACACACGGAUAACAUACCGAAAGGUAUGCUAAUACGAGAUAAUAUAAGAGAUUCACAUGGAUUUCUUAUCAAAGCUGAGGCGGUAUAGGAUGGACCCGCGUCUGAUUAGCUAGUUGGUAAGGUAACGGCUUACCAAGGCGACGAUCAGUAGCCGACCCGAGAGGGUGAUCGGCCACAUUGGAACUGAGACACGGUCCAAACUCCUACGGGAGGCAGCAGUGGGGAAUAUUGCACAAUGGGCGAAAGCCUGAUGCAGCAACGCCGCGUGAGUGAUGAAGGCCUUCGGGUCGUAAAACUCUGUCCUCAAGGAAGAUAAUGACGGUACUUGAGGAGGAAGCCCCGGCUAACUACGUGCCAGCAGCCGCGGUAAUACGUAGGGGGCUAGCGUUAUCCGGAUUUACUGGGCGUAAAGGGUGCGUAGGAGGUCUCUUAAGUCAGGAGUGAAAGGCUACGGCUUAACCGUAGUGAGCUCUUGAAACUGGGAGACUUGAGUGCAGGAGAGGAAAGUGGAAUUCCUAGUGUAGCGGUGAAAUGCGUAGAUAUUAGGAGGAACACCAGUAGCGAAGGCGGCUUUCUGGACUGUAACUGACACUGAGGCACGAAAGCGUGGGGAGCAAACAGGAUUAGAUACCCUGGUAGUCCACGCCGUAAACGAUGAGUACUAGGUGU